RNAcentral lists this RNase P RNA (530 nucleotides) under Candidatus Peregrinibacteria bacterium. RNAcentral's name for it is "RNase P RNA component class A". It matches the Rfam family "Bacterial RNase P class A". Rfam says of the family: Ribonuclease P (RNase P) is a ubiquitous endoribonuclease, found in archaea, bacteria and eukarya as well as chloroplasts and mitochondria. Its best characterised activity is the generation of mature 5'-ends of tRNAs by cleaving the 5'-leader elements of precursor-tRNAs. The record is from RNAcentral. Lineage: Bacteria; Candidatus Peregrinibacteriota.
CCUGCUCUUUUGAUGAUCGCCCCACGUCUUGAACGUGUGGGAGGAACGUCCGGGCACCACGUAAAAUCGCUUCGCGAUCACGUGGCACAGCCACGGGAGAGUCAGCGAUUUUCGUGUCACGUGGCGAGCAAUCGCUUUACGUGACGCUGGAACGCCUAGUGGGUAACGCCCACCUGCGCAUCGAAUAUCCCCGCCCGUGCCGAAAGGUACGUUCGGGCGGGCAAAGGAUGCGUACGGACCAGUGCCACAGAGACGAUCAGUCCCGUCCCGCGCUUGCGGGACGGGAUGAAGUGAAACGUUCCCGCACCUGCGGGAUUGGCCUCGAGCGACUCGAGGCAUCACGGCAAACUCUAGGUGGUGCAAGGAGGAUUUGGGUCGGUGGAACUUCUCAUGGUUCCGUGAGUCCGCUGUCCCCUCCGCCUGAGGUUCGCAGCAAUGCGGAUCCCAGAGAGAUGAUCAUCUUCGGUUCUCUCUCGAUGUACAUGGAGAGCUAACUGGAACAGAACCCGGCGUACGAAAGAGCAGGAUGA